This 496-nucleotide ribosomal RNA is filed under the name uncultured bacterium. RNAcentral's name for it is "partial 16S ribosomal RNA". It matches the Rfam family "Bacterial small subunit ribosomal RNA", at positions 28 to 507 of the family's 1533-position model. The record is from RNAcentral.
GAUGAACGCUGGCGGCGUGCCUAAUACAUGCAAGUCGAGCGAACAGACGAGGAGCUUGCUCCUCUGACGUUAGCGGCGGACGGGUGAGUACACGUGGAUAACCUACCUAUAAGACUGGGAUAACCUCGGGAAACCGGAGCUAAUACCGGAUAAUAUAUUGAACCGCCUGGUUCAAUAGUGAAAGACGGUUUUGCUGUUACCUAUAGAUGGAUCCGCGCCGCAUUAGCUAGUUGGUAAGGUAACGGCUUACCAAGGCAACGAUGCGUAGCCGACCUGAGAGGGUGAUCGGCCACACUGGAACUGAGACACGGUCCAGACUCCUACGGGAGGCAGCAGUAGGGAAUCUUCCGCAAUGGGCGAAAGCCUGACGGAGCAACGCCGCGUGAGUGAUGAAGGUCUUCGGAUCGUAAAACUCUGUUAUUAGGGAAGAACAAAUGUGUAAGUAACUAUGCACGUCUUGACGGUACCUAAUCAGAAAGCCACGGCUAACUACGUG